This 1227-nucleotide ribosomal RNA is filed under the name uncultured bacterium. RNAcentral's name for it is "bacterial SSU rRNA". It matches the Rfam family "Bacterial small subunit ribosomal RNA", at positions 8 to 1255 of the family's 1533-position model. The record is from RNAcentral.
AGAGUUUGAUCCUGGCUCAGGACGAACGCUGGCGGCACGCCUAACACAUGCAAGUCGAAAGGAGAAUUUAGGUUUACUUGAAUUCUUAGUGGCGGACGGGUGAGUAACACGUGAGCAACCUGCCUUUGAGAGAGGGAUAGCUUCUGGAAACGGAUGGUAAUACCUCAUAACAUAUAUUUAAGGCAUCUUAGAUAUAUCAAAGAUUUAUCACUCAAAGAUGGGCUCGCGUCUGAUUAGCUAGAUGGUGAGGUAACGGCCCACCAUGGCAACGAUCAGUAGCCGGACUGAAAGGUUGAACGGCCACAUUGGGACUGAGACACGGCCCACACUCCUACGGGAGGCAGCAGUGGGAAAUAUUGCACAAUGGGGGAAACCCUGAUGCAGCGAUGCCGCGUGGAGGAAGAAGGUUUUCGGAUUGUAAACUCCUGUCUUAAGGGACAAUAAUGACGGUACCUUAGGAGGAAGCUCCGGCUAACUACGUGCCAGCAGCCGCGGUAAUACGUAGGGAGCGAGCGUUGUCCGGAAUUACUGGGUGUAAAGGGAGCGUACGCGGGAUGGCAAGUCAGACGUGAAAACUAUGGGCUCAACCCAUAGACUGCAUUUGAAACUGUUGUUCUUGAGUGAAGUAGAGGUAAGCGGAAUUCCUAGUGUAGCGGUGAAAUGCGUAGAUAUUAGGAGGAACAUCGGUGGCGAAGGCGGCUUACUGGGCUUUUACUGACGCUGAGGCUCGAAAGGGUGGGGAGCAAACAGGAUUAGAUUACCCUGGUAGUCCACGCUGUAAACGAUGAUUACUAGGUGUGGGGGGAGUGACCCCUUCUCGUGCCGCAGUUAACACAAUAAGUAAUCCACCUGGGGAGUACGGCCGCAAGGUUGAAACUCAAAGGAAUUGACGGGGGCCCGCACAAGCAGUGGAGUAUGUGGUUUAAUUCGAAGCAACGCGAAGAACCUUACCAGGUCUUGACAUCGUAUGCAUAACAUAGAGAUAUGUGAAAUCCCUUCGGGGACAUAUAGACAGGUGGUGCAUGGUUGUCGUCAGCUCGUGUCGUGAGAUGUUGGGUUAAGUCCCGCAACGAGCGCAACCCUUACUAUUAGUUGCUACGCAAGAGCACUCUAAUAGGACUGCCGUUGACAAAACGGAGGAAGGUGGGGAUGACGUCAAAUCAUCAUGCCCCUUAUGACCUGGGCUACACACGUACUACAAUGGCAAUUAACAAAGAGGAGCGAAAU